This 511-nucleotide ribosomal RNA is filed under the name uncultured bacterium. Its description in RNAcentral is "bacterial SSU rRNA". It matches the Rfam family "Bacterial small subunit ribosomal RNA", at positions 29 to 527 of the family's 1533-position model. The record is from RNAcentral.
AGUGAACGCUGGCGGCAGGCCUAAUACAUGCAAGUCGAACGGCAGCACGGCAGAGCUUGCUCUGUGGGUGGCGAGUGGCGGACGGGUGAGGAAUACAUGGGGAUCUGCCCAGUCGUGGGGGAUAACGUAGGGAAACUUACGCUAAUACCGCAUGCGCCCUUCGGGGAAAGCCGGGGACCUUCGGGCCUGGCGCGAUUGGAUGAGCCCAUGUCGGAUUAGCUAGUUGGCGGGGUAAUGGCCCACCAAGGCGACGAUCCGUAGCUGGUCUGAGAGGAUGAUCAGCCACACUGGAACUGAGACACGGUCCAGACUCCUACGGGAGGCAGCAGUAGGGAAUAUUGGACAAUGGGCGCAAGCCUGAUCCAGCCAUGCCGCGUGAGUGAAGAAGGCCCUCGGGUUGUAAAGCGUCUUUUGUCCGGAAAGAAAAGCGCCGGGUUAAUACCCUGGUGUCCUGACGGUACCGAAGAAUAAGACACCGGCUAAACUUCGUGCCAGCGAGCCGCGGUAAUCG